This 1005-nucleotide long non-coding RNA is filed under the name Chloebia gouldiae (Gouldian finch). Its description in RNAcentral is "Erythrura gouldiae (Gouldian finch) lncRNA (ENSEGOG00005010168.1)". Lineage: Eukaryota; Metazoa; Chordata; Aves; Passeriformes; Passeridae. The record is from RNAcentral.
AUGGCCAGAUGGGAGCAGAGGGGAGAAAAGGGGGGAGGAACUUUCACGUGUCGGAUGGACCCAGCCCAGGGAUGGGCGAGCGGCACCCUCGGGGUCCCUCCCUCGCCUCAUCCCGACCGCAUCCCGCAGGAAAAACACCGGGAUCGCUCCCAGUCCCCCCAGGAACCCCCCGGGACCCCCCUGACCCCCGCGUUCGGCCCCCACCUCCGCGUUCUGACAGAUCCCGGCGCGUUCCAGGAGCGUGAGGUCAGCGCGCCGGGGAAAAAGGACCGCGGGGCCAUCCAUCCAUCAUCCAUCAUCAUCAUCCCUCACCCCUCAGCCCGCGAUCAAAGCGCCCCGCGGGCUCCCCUUCCCACCCGGUCCCGGCUCCCGCGGCUCCCGCGGCGCGAGCGCUCCGCGUUCUUGGCCGUCCCGCAGCUGUUUCCACUCGAGGCCGCCGUAAGUGGAAAAACCUGCGGCUCUCGAGGCGCUUCCCGGCCUCCGGGGGCAGCGGCUAUUCCCGGCUCCCUUUCAUCUUCCCCAUUUAUCAGCGUUAUCCUCUUUUUUUUUUUUUUUUUCUUCGCACGGGAUGAAACGGGGAAUAUUUUUGUCCUCCAGAACAAAGAAAAGGAGCUUGGAAAGCAAAUCCCAAAAGAAAGCAACCCAAAACCUUUUGAGAACACCAAACAUUUCCCCAGGACUGCCAAGGCCACCCUGACCAUGUCCCCAAGUGCCACCUCCGCUCUUCAAUCCCCCCAGGAAUGGGGACCCCCACCCCUGCCCUGGGCUGGAGGGUCUUGCCCAGGAGGAAUUUUCCCAAUAUCAAACCUAAACCUUCGGUGGCACCACUCGAGGCUGUUUCCUGCUGUGCUGCCCCUUGUCCCCCGCAAAGAGAUUCCCCCAAAACCCCCCCAAAAUCCUCCUGGGGGUGAUGGAUGUGAGGGGCUGAGGGGAAACCAGGAAGGGAUGUGUCCAGAGGGGUCAGGAAUUGGUGGGAAUCAGGAAUUCAAAUCUCCCAUCCAGUGA